This 253-nucleotide ribosomal RNA is filed under the name uncultured bacterium. Its description in RNAcentral is "partial 16S ribosomal RNA". It matches the Rfam family "Bacterial small subunit ribosomal RNA", at positions 524 to 776 of the family's 1533-position model. The record is from RNAcentral.
UACGUAGGGGGCUAGCGUUGUCCGGAUUUAUUGGGCGUAAAGAGCGUGUAGGCGGCCAGGUAGGUCUGCUGUGAAAACUCGAGGCUCAACCUCGAGACGUCGGCGGAAACCAUCUGGCUAGAGUCCGGAAGAGGAGAGUGGAAUUCCUGGUGUGGCGGUGAAAUGCGCAGAUAUCAGGAAGAACACCCGUGGCGAAGGCGGGCUACUGGGCCGAUACUGACGCUGAGGCGCGAAAGCCAGGGGAGCAAACGGG